This 256-nucleotide ribosomal RNA is filed under the name uncultured bacterium. RNAcentral's name for it is "partial 16S ribosomal RNA". It matches the Rfam family "Bacterial small subunit ribosomal RNA", at positions 100 to 372 of the family's 1533-position model. The record is from RNAcentral.
GCACGGGUAGUACCGUCACUACCUACUUUGAGUGGGGGAUAACUGAGGGAAACCUUAGCUAAUACCGCAUAAUACCCACGGGUCAAAGAAGCAAUUCGCUUAAGAGGGGGUCGCGGCCGAUUAGUUAGUUGGCGGGGUAAUAGGCCCACCAAAGACAGUGAUCGGUAUCCGGCCUGAGAGGGGGCACGGACACACGUGGAACUGAAACACGGUCCAGACUCCUACGGGAGGCAAGCAGUGGGGAAUUUUGCGCAAU